UGGUAAUGCCGGAUGCUCCAGUUGGAUGCAUGUCCUUCUGGGAAAGAUUCAUCGGUAUGGGAUGGGGUCGCGUCCUAUCAGCUUGAUGGCGGGGUAACGGCCCACCAUGGCUUCGACGGGUAGCCGGCCUGAGAGGGCGACCGGCCACAUUGGGACUGAGAUACGGCCCAGACUCCUACGGGAGGCAGCAGUGGGGAAUAUUGCACAAUGGGCGCAAGCCUGAUGCAGCGACGCCGCGUGCGGGAUGACGGCCUUCGGGUUGUAAACCGCUUUUGACUGGGAGCAAGCCCUUCGGGGUGAGUGUACCUUUCGAAUAAGCACCGGCUAACUACGUGCCAGCAGCCGCGGUAAUACGUAGGGUGCAAGCGUUAUCCGGAAUUAUUGGGCGUAAAGGGCUCGUAGGCGGUUCGUCGCGUCCGGUGUGAAAGUCCAUCGCUUAACGGUGGAUCCGCGCCGGGUACGGGCGGGCUUGAGUGCGGUAGGGGAGACUGGAAUUCCCGGUGUAACGGUGGAAUGUGUAGAUAUCGGAAA
RNAcentral lists this ribosomal RNA (531 nucleotides) under Bifidobacterium adolescentis. RNAcentral describes it as "bacterial SSU rRNA". It matches the Rfam family "Bacterial small subunit ribosomal RNA", at positions 161 to 703 of the family's 1533-position model. The record is from RNAcentral. Lineage: Bacteria; Bacillati; Actinomycetota; Actinomycetes; Bifidobacteriales; Bifidobacteriaceae.